Molecule: long non-coding RNA, 2496 nt
Organism: Rosa rugosa (rugosa rose)
Lineage: Eukaryota; Viridiplantae; Streptophyta; Magnoliopsida; Rosales; Rosaceae
Exons: 4
Source: RefSeq, a predicted model, not a curated record
CAUCUCAGCUCACUCUUUCAGCCACAUAAAAUCCCCAUUUUCUCUCUCCACCUCUCGUUUGCUUCCCUGAAACCCAAAAUCCCUAGAAUAUCUCAAUUCGGAAAUUUUGUUCAGAUGCAGUCCCCGGAACCGUGAAAUCAGUUGGAAUAACACCAUUAUUGAAAUCAGAGGACUGAAAAGGAGCGUGAGACUGGCCUGUGAAAUCAGUCCUCUGAAUUCGUGUCUAUCUCUUAGAAGCCAAUCUUUUCUUCUCUCAUCUCCCCUCUCUCUUCCGCUCCCUCACUUCUCCCCCACUCCCCACCACCGAUUCUCCCCACCCAUCAUCUCCGCUGUCCAAUUCCGCCACCCUCACGCCCUCCCCACCGUCCAAUUUGAGGGGGACGAAUGUUGAAAAGGUUUUGUUGUGAGUUGUGACUUAGGAGUGAGUGGAUUGAGUUUUGAGGGAGUGAGCGAAUUGCAAAUAAUGUUUAGUGGUGGUGGCUCUCGUGUCUCGAAUCACCUACGGCUGCGAGAUCGCGACCUCCGCCGCCGCCGCCACCAACCCCAACUUGGUUUUGGGUUCGUCUUUGGCUUUGGAUUGGGUACUCGAAUCGCUGGGCUACUGAUUGAAUGCAUUGAUUGAUUUCAGGCAGCGUAAACUUCACCAAGAGUGCCGGAACAUCGAACGCCAAAUUUGAAAUAUACAAAGAGAAGAGAAAAGUCUGCAAAAAGCAAUAAAAGAUGCUAUCAGCCUACUUGCCUCAUGAAAACCAAAAGAUACAUUCACAUGAGCAUUGUUUUCCCUUAUUGGUUUCAAUGAGACUGGAUUUAUAAUGUUCAUAUUAGACUUCAUGAUGUAUUUUUUGGUUAAAUUCAACCAAAUUGAAAUAAGUAGUAAAUAUCGAGCUAUCAUGAUAGUGUAAAUUUCAUAUGAGAAAGCAAGUUAACCGAAUAAAGGCAUUCUUUUUCCUAUACUUGAUGAAGGUUUAAUAUGUCUAUCUAUUUAGAACAUAUUCAUGAAGGUUUAGUAUCUUUAUCUACGUAGAAUAUAUUUCAAUCAUGAACUGUCAUAAUGAAAUGUGGUUUGGAACUAAUGUUCUAGAUUUCCAUACUUGAAGCUAUAACAUGUUGAGUUCUGACUGAGAAUAGGGCAUAAACUGUUGAGUUCUGAUAAGCCUGCGUAUAGUGGCAUGUGUGGAUGUCAUUAUUACAUGUUUACCUCAUUUAGCACCAGACGAUUUGAUCAUUCUGGAAAAUUCUGUCCAAUAAUCAUUUUGUUAAUGGAUUGUGCUCAAUGAGACAUAAUACAUUUCUUUGAAACAGCUCAUGCUUUUCAAGCUUGCGAUUUUAUGCUUUUUAAACGUUGUUAACUAACUCUGGUUUUUUUUUGGGGCAGGCAUUUACAAUUGCAAUUUGUAGUGACCUGGUUUGUGUCAACCAACCCAAUUUUGUGCUUCCACGAGAAAAUAUAUAAGGAAAGAGGUCUUUGCCUCUUUGGGAGAAAGCAGAAAGAAUUUAGAUUUUGGUGGAGUGCAGUACUUUCUAAUUAUGGCGCUGGAGUUGAUAGCAGGAUCAGUAUUUACAGUGCUGUAUGACCGUGUUUCAGGAGCUGUGGACAGGAAAUCAGAGUUCAGAUACCUCCUCACACAUAUGAAACGCACCCUAGACUCUUUAACAGGACAGGCCAGAUUCAUUCGAGAGAUACGGGAGUUUAAUGAUGAACUGAGUCUCCCCAACCAUGACAUAGCUGAUCUUGAAACACAAAUGAUUGAAGGCACACAACUCGUUGGGAGGAUGUCCAGUUUUCGUAUGUACAACUAUUGCUGCAUGGAUGGUUGCCACAACCAACUUUAUGAAUUGAAUAGGUCUCUUGAUAGACUUUUAGACAAUUGUCAAGGCAAAACCGUGACGACCUUGAUGAAAUGAAGGGUAUGUUGAAGAUGAUACUGCAGCAGAUCAAUGAUCCUGAAAUGAAGGGUCUAGUGAAGAAGUUACUGGAGCAUAAUGCAGGGGACUUCACGGAGACCUCGACCUCGGCUUCUGGAAGUAAUACAGAAAGAGAAGGGAAUGAUGAAGCACAAGUGGAAUCAUUAGAAGGACUAUUAGGAGCAGCAGCAUUUCAGGUUCUGUUUGAUUUCAUUAUAGUGGCAGAUAUAUAAGGAAGCUGAGAAGUCUGCUUAUUAGAAUGGAGCAAAGGUGGCUGUUGUUUAUGGUGGAGCGCCAAUGGGUCAGCAGGUUUGUGUCUCUGCAGGCUCACUGGCCAUUCCGUUUUCUAUGACCACUUCUAUGAUUCGGGUGAUUCCAUUCAUGAUCAGAUUGUGAAACUGGUACAGCAGUACACCUAGCUAGUUCCUUUAUUAACUUGUGUCUAGUAGAAAUUUUUCAUUCAUUAAGCAUUUGGACUUGUCUGCAGAUCCAGAUUAGUAGAUAUGGGUUAUUUUGAACUGAUGUUCAUGAUUAGGUUUGUGUACAUGAGACAAUAGUGGAUUAAUGGAAAUUGCAAUGAAUGAUUUUGGA